This 497-nucleotide ribosomal RNA is filed under the name uncultured Glomus. Its description in RNAcentral is "SSU rRNA". It matches the Rfam family "Eukaryotic small subunit ribosomal RNA", at positions 569 to 1070 of the family's 1831-position model. Lineage: Eukaryota; Fungi; Glomeromycota; Glomeromycetes; Glomerales; Glomeraceae. The record is from RNAcentral.
AGCAGCCGCGGUAAUUCCAGCUCCAAUAGCGUAUAUUAAAGUUGUUGCAGUUAAAAAGCUCGUAGUUGAAUUUCGGGACCAUCAUGUUGGUCGUGCCUCGGUACGUACUGGCAUUGUUGGUUUCUCCCUUCUGACGAACCAUGAUGUCAUUUAUUUGGUGUCGUGGGAAAUCAGGACUGUUACUUUGAAAAAUUAGAGUGUUUAAAGCAGGCUCACGCUUGAAUACAUUAGCAUGGAAUAAUGAAAUAGGACGUUUGAUUCUAUUUUGUUGGUUUCUAGGAUCGACGUAAUGAUUAAUAGGGAUAGUUGGGGGCAUUAGUAUUCAAUUGUCAGAGGUGAAAUUCUUGGAUUUAUUGAAGACUAACUACUGCGAAAGCAUUUGCCAAGGACGUUUUCAUUAAUACAAGAACGAAAGUUAGGGGAUCGAAGACGAUCAGAUACCGUCGUAGUCUUAACCAUAAACUAUAGCCGACUAGGGAUCGGAUGAUGUUAAUUUU